GACGAACGCUGGCGGCGUGCUUAACACAUGCAAGUCGAACGGUAAGGCCCUGCUUUUGUGGGGUGCUCGAGGGGCGAACGGGUGAGUAACACGUGAGUAACCUGCCCUUGACUUUGGGAUAACUUCAGGAAACUGGGGCUAAUACCGGAUAGGAGCUCCUGAUGCAUGGUUAUGGUUGGAACGUUUGGGCGGUUGGGGAUGGACUCGCGGCUUAUCAGCUUGUUGGUGGGGUAGUGGCUUACCAAGGCUUUGUCGGGUAGCCGGCCUGAGAGGGUGACCGGCACAAGUGGGACUGAGAUACGGCCCAGACUCGUACGGGAGGCAGCAGUGGGGAAUAUUGCACAAUGGGCGGAAGCCGGAUGCAGCAACGCCGCGUGAGGGAUGACGGCCUUCGGGUGGUAAACCGCAUUCGCCUGUGACGAAGCGUGAGUGACGGUAAUGGGUAAAGAAGCACCGGCUAACUACGUG
RNAcentral lists this ribosomal RNA (468 nucleotides) under uncultured bacterium. Its description in RNAcentral is "partial 16S ribosomal RNA". It matches the Rfam family "Bacterial small subunit ribosomal RNA", at positions 28 to 507 of the family's 1533-position model. The record is from RNAcentral.